RNAcentral lists this ribosomal RNA (580 nucleotides) under uncultured archaeon. Its description in RNAcentral is "bacterial SSU rRNA". It matches the Rfam family "Archaeal small subunit ribosomal RNA", at positions 279 to 859 of the family's 1478-position model. The record is from RNAcentral.
AGAGCAAGAGCCCGGAGAUGGAACCUGAGACAAGGUUCCAGGCCCUACGGGGUGCAGCAGGCGCGAAACCUCCGCAAUGUGAGAAAUCGCGACGGGGGGAUCCCAAGUGCCAUUCUUAACGGGAUGGCUUUUCAUUAGUGUAAAGAGCUUUUGGAAUAAGGGCUGGGCAAGACCGGUGCCAGCCGCCGCGGUAACACCGGCAGCUCUAGUGGUAGCAGUUUUUAUUGGGCCUAAAGCGUCCGUAGCCGGUUUAAUAAGUCUCUGGUGAAAUCCUGUAGCUUAACUGUGGGAAUUGCUGGAGAUACUAUUAGACUUGAGACCGGGAGAGGUUAGAGGUACUCCCAGGGUAGAGGUGAAAUUCUGUAAUCCUGGGAGGACCGCCUGUUGCGAAGGCGUCUAACUGGAACGGUUCUGACGGUGAGGGACGAAAGUUAGGGGCGCGAACCGGAUUAGAUACCCGGGUAGUCCUAACUGUAAACGAUGCGGACUUGGUGUUGGGGUGGCUUUGAGCUGUUCCAGCGCCGAAGGGAAGCUGUUAAGUCCGCCGCCUGGGAAGUACGGUCGCAAGACUGAAACUUAA